ACUCCUGGCAUAGAGUGUAAACAGUGUAAAUAGAUGCACAUUUGUGAUUGUGCAUAGUGGUAAAGAUUGGAACUACCUGUUUCUACACAUUUUAGCCUGAGCAAAGAUUUUUACUUUGAAGGUUUUUAAGAAUCAGAGGUAUGAAAUGUAAGAGGCACACUUCACAUUAAUUAAGAUUCUAUUGCAGGAAGAUUCUCUCUCUUUGAUAUUUGUGUUUCUCUUUUUAUUUUUCCUUUAUUACCCCAAUUCUUACCACUACCACCAGAAAAGGGAGGGAAUCUGGAGAUAAAAUUAGUAUUCAUCUCCAGGAUGCUAGCUACUCUAAGGAAGUAAUACCAGAUAGGUUUGUACUACAAAGUGCUUUAAGCCAAGGGAGAACUAGAGCAUGAAUGUAAUGUAGUAAAAUACACUAUGUUAUAUGUAAUUAUACAAAUUUAGGCAGAGUGUUAGCAAUCAAAAAUGUGAAUGCUAAAAGCCUUAUUAGAGCAUAAGGGUAUAAAAUGUGCCAUGACAGAAGGGACCCAUGUUUCAGCUAGUAAUGAAUUUUUUUAAAAAAAAAAAAAGAGAGAGAGAAUUUUUUAAUAUUUAUUUUUCAGUUCUUGGCGGACACAACAUCUUUGUUUGUAUGUGGUGUUGAGGAUCGAACCCGGGCUGCACGCAUACCAGGCGAGCGGGCUACCGCCUGAGCCACAUCCCCAGCCCUAGUAUGGCAUUUUGACUCCAACAAAAGUGCUUAGAGAAUGAGCAGGUUCUGGUUGCCUGUCCUGAUAUCACUUGUGAAAAAUUAGAGAUGUUUCAUCUCAAAUCCCAAAUUUCCUUGAACAUAAUAUAAUUGUCAUUCAUCUAAACUUUUAAAAAAUUAUAACUUUUGAUUAAAUCCCUGUUAGUG
RNAcentral lists this long non-coding RNA (889 nucleotides) under Marmota monax (woodchuck). The record is from RNAcentral. Lineage: Eukaryota; Metazoa; Chordata; Mammalia; Rodentia; Sciuridae.